CUUAAAUUGAAGAGUUUGAUCAUGGCUCAGAUUGAACGCUGGCGGCAGGCCUAACACAUGCAAGUCGAGCGGUAGCACAAGAGAGCUUGC
Molecule: ribosomal RNA, 90 nt
Filed under: Pectobacterium odoriferum
Lineage: Bacteria; Pseudomonadati; Pseudomonadota; Gammaproteobacteria; Enterobacterales; Pectobacteriaceae
Description: Pectobacterium carotovorum subsp. odoriferum partial 16S ribosomal RNA
Rfam family: Bacterial small subunit ribosomal RNA
Source: RNAcentral